AAUUAUAUCACUGGGUAGUAACAUUAAACCAACAUGUAUUGGCGGUCUUUAAAACUUAGAGAAACUCGCUUUAUAAUCGUAACUACUCGCUAAUUUUAACUCUAAUAAAUAGCCUAUAUACCGCCGUUUAGAAUAUAACACAAAAUACUAUUCAAAAUCUUUACACAGCAAAAAUCAGGUCAAGGUGUAGCCAAUUUUAGAGUAAAAGUAAGUUACAUUAAAAACAAUUUAAGGAUUUAGUAUAAAAAUACAAAUGAAAAAGAAUUUAUUAGUACGGAUUAAUCAAUAACUAAACCCGAAAAAACAACCUAAAGAUGU
This 318-nucleotide ribosomal RNA is filed under the name Pholcus chattoni. Its description in RNAcentral is "partial 12S ribosomal RNA". Lineage: Eukaryota; Metazoa; Arthropoda; Arachnida; Araneae; Pholcidae. The record is from RNAcentral.